GACGAACGCUGGCGGCGUGCUUAACACAUGCAAGUCGAACGGAAAGGCCCUGCUUUUGUGGGGUGCUCGAGUGGCGAACGGGUGAGUAACACGUGAGUAACCUGCCCUUGACUUUGGGAUAACUUCAGGAAACUGGGGCUAAUACCGGAUAGGAGCUCCUGCUGCAUGGUGGGGGUUGGAAAGUUUCGGCGGUUGGGGAUGGACUCGCGGCUUAUCAGCUUGUUGGUGGGGUAGUGGCUUACCAAGGCUUUGACGGGUAGCCGGCCUGAGAGGGUGACCGGCCACAUUGGGACUGAGAUACGGCCCAGACUCCUACGGGAGGCAGCAGUGGGGAAUAUUGCACAAUGGGCGGAAGCCUGUUGCAGCAACGCCGCGUGCGGGAUGACGGCCUUCGGGUGUUAAACCGCUUUCGCCUGUGACGAAGCGUGAGUGACGGUAAUGGGUAAAGAAGCACCGGCUAACUACGUG
Molecule: ribosomal RNA, 468 nt
Filed under: uncultured bacterium
Lineage: Bacteria
Description: partial 16S ribosomal RNA
Rfam family: Bacterial small subunit ribosomal RNA
Source: RNAcentral